GGCAUUGAGUGCUUGCACUCUUUGGACGUCGACCGGCGCACGGGUGAGUAACGCGUGUCCAACCUUCCCAUUACUGUGGGAUAACCUGCCGAAAGGCAGACUAAUACCGCAUAGUCUUCGAUGACGGCAUCAGAUUUGAAGUAAAGAUUUAUCGGUAAUGGAUGGGGAUGCGUCUGAUUAGCUUGUUGGCGGGGUAACGGCCCACCAAGGCGACGAUCAGUAGGGGUUCUGAGAGGAAGGUCCCCCACAUUGGAACUGAGACACGGUCCAAACUCCUACGGGAGGCAGCAGUGAGGAAUAUUGGUCAAUGGACGGAAGUCUGAACCAGCCAAGUAGCGUGCAGGAUGACGGCCCUAUGGGUUGUAAACUGCUUUUGUAUGGGGAUAAAGUUAGGGACGUGUCCCUAUUUGCAGGUACCAUACGAAUAAGCGACCGGCUAAUUCCGUGCCAGCAGCCGCGGUAAUACGGAAGGUCCAGGCGUUAUCCGGAUUUAUUGGGUUUAAAGGGAGCGUAGGCUCGGAGAUUAAGUGUGUUGUGAAAUGUAGACGCUCACGUCUGACUGCAGCGCAUACUGGUUUCCUUGAGUACGCACAACGUUGGCGGAAUUCGUCGUGUAGCGGUGAAAUGCUUAGCUAUGACGAAGAACUCCGAUUGCGAAGGCAGCUGACGGGAGCGCAACUGACGCUUAAGCUCGAAGGUACGGGUAUCAAACAGGAUUAGAUACCCUGGUAGUCCGCACAGUAAACGAUGGAUGCCCGCUGUUGGUACCUGGUAUCAGCGGCUAAGCGAAAGCAUU
This 796-nucleotide ribosomal RNA is filed under the name uncultured Prevotellaceae bacterium. RNAcentral's name for it is "bacterial SSU rRNA". It matches the Rfam family "Bacterial small subunit ribosomal RNA", at positions 68 to 861 of the family's 1533-position model. The record is from RNAcentral. Lineage: Bacteria; Pseudomonadati; Bacteroidota; Bacteroidia; Bacteroidales; Prevotellaceae.